GCCCACGUACCCCAACUGGCAGAGGGACCGCCAUGAGGCGCCGGGUGUUGCGGGUUCGACUCCCGCCGAGGGCA
This 74-nucleotide transfer RNA is filed under the name Propionibacteriaceae bacterium. Its description in RNAcentral is "tRNA-Leu". It matches the Rfam family "tRNA". Rfam says of the family: Transfer RNA (tRNA) molecules are approximately 80 nucleotides in length. Lineage: Bacteria; Bacillati; Actinomycetota; Actinomycetes; Propionibacteriales; Propionibacteriaceae. The record is from RNAcentral.